CGGAACUCUCGAGCCUCGGAACCCACAAGUGCGGGCGUGAGGCGCCGGAGGGCAGAGGAGUGGAACACGCUGUCCGCGGACGGACCCGGAAGCACAUGGCGGCGAGCCUCCAGGAGCGGGAGGCGGAACGCAGAGUGGCAGGUUGUGCCGGAAGCCUCGCUGUGGU
RNAcentral lists this long non-coding RNA (166 nucleotides) under Bos grunniens (domestic yak). RNAcentral's name for it is "lncRNA (ENSBGRG00000024548.1)". Lineage: Eukaryota; Metazoa; Chordata; Mammalia; Artiodactyla; Bovidae. The record is from RNAcentral.